This 106-nucleotide ribosomal RNA is filed under the name uncultured bacterium. RNAcentral describes it as "partial 16S ribosomal RNA". It matches the Rfam family "Bacterial small subunit ribosomal RNA", at positions 356 to 460 of the family's 1533-position model. The record is from RNAcentral.
AGGGAAUAUUGGUCAAUGGACGCAAGUCUGAACCAGCCAUGCCGCGUGCAGGAAGACUGCCCUAUGGGUUGUAAACUGCUUUUAUACAGGAAGAAACGCCUCUACG